GACGAACGCUGGCGGCGUGCUUAACACAUGCAAGUCGAACGGUGAAGCGCCUUCCUUUUUGGUGGGUGUGGAUGAGUGGCGAACGGGUGAGUAACACGUGAGUAACCUGCCCCCUUCUUCUGGAUAACCGCAUGAAAGUGUGGCUAAUACGGGAUAUUCUGUGUCUGUCGCAUGAUGGGUCUGGGAAAGAUAUUGUUUCGGUGGGGGAUGGGCUCGCGGCCUAUCAGCUUGUUGGUGGGGUGAUGGCCUACCAAGGCGGUGACGGGUAGCCGGCGUGAGAGGGUGGACGGUCACACUGGGACUGAGACACGGCCCAGACUCCUACGGGAGGCAGCAGUGGGGAAUACUGCACAAUGGGCGCAAGCCUGAUGCAGCGACGCCGCGUGAGGGAUGGAGGCCUUCGGGUUGUGAACCUCUUUCGCCAGUGAAGCAGGCCUGCCUCGUUUGUGGGUGGGUUGACGGUAGCUGGAUAAGAAGCGCCGGCUAACUACGUG
RNAcentral lists this ribosomal RNA (494 nucleotides) under uncultured bacterium. RNAcentral's name for it is "partial 16S ribosomal RNA". It matches the Rfam family "Bacterial small subunit ribosomal RNA", at positions 28 to 507 of the family's 1533-position model. The record is from RNAcentral.